AAGCUACAGAAGCAAAGAGGCCGGUGGGUGCCUCUCCCUUCCACUUGCUGAACUACCGGAGUGAAAAAGCCACAACAUUUCUAGGGGCUCCUUCAGGAUCUUCGGAAGGGAUCACUCCAGCCAGACCACCCAACUGGCCUGGAGGAUAUUACCUCAGGAGACAGCCCCCACCUGUUUGGGCAGGAAUUAUCAAGGGAUCUCUCUGAGUUCCUUCAUCCUCAGCUUAAAGUUUUACAACAUGUAGAUGACAUUCUCCUGUGUGCCCCAACUGACUAUAUCUCUCAGGAAGGCAGAAGUGGCAGUAAUGCAUUGUAAAACCACCAAAAGUGGAUGAAUGAAAUAGCCAAGGGAAAUCAAUUGACAGAUCAAGCAGCUAAAUUGGCAGCAAGAAGCCCCAGAUUUCUGAUCCACUUGAGGCUCUUCUGGUCUGGAGGGUGUUCCAUAAGAGAAAUAAAACCUCAAUAUUUUCCAAAAGAAGUAGAAUGGGCCACCUCUCAGAAAUACAUGUUCAGCCCUUAGGGUGGCCUCAACUGGAGGAUGGCAAACUUCAUCUAUCAGAUUCCAGCCAAUGAAAGUCCUUAAAAUUCUUCACCAAGCCUCCCACCUAGGAAAAGAUAAAGACUGUCAAUUGUCUCAAAGGUUGUUCUCAGGUAAAAAUCUGCUAAAAAUCAUAAAACAGGAUGUUAAUGCUUCUGAAACUUGCCUUAAAAAUAAUUCCUGGCCGGGCACAGUGGCUCAAGCCUGUAAUCUCAGCACUUUGGGAGGCCGAGGCAGGUGGACCACGAGGCCAGGAGAUCGAGACCAUCCUGGUCAACAUGGUGAAACCCCAUCUCUACUAAAAAUAAAAAUAUAUAUAGCUGGGCAUGAUGGCGUGUGCCUGUGGUCCCAGCUGCUCGGGAGGCUGAGGUGGGAGAAUUGCCUGAACCCAGGAGGCGGAGGUUGCGGUGAGCUGAGGUCGCGCCAUUGCACUGCAGCCUGGGAAACAAGAGCGAAGCUCUGUCUCAAAAUAAUAAUAAUAAUAAUAAUAAUUCCUUCAACUGGUAGCUUAUCUUCUCUUCUCCAGAACCCAAAGAAUGAGUGGCCACCUGUAAAAAGAAUGGCAAAUGGAUUUCACCCAUAUGCCAGAGAUAAGGGGCAUCCAGUACCUCCUGGUAUUGGUAGAUACCUUCACUAACUGGGGAGAACCAUUUCCAUGUCAGACAGAGAAAGGCUCUGAAGUGAUAAAACUACUAAUUAAUGAAAUAAGUCCUUGCUUUGGACUCCCUAAGUAUGUCAAGAGUGAUAAUGAUCCCUCAUUCCAGGCAGUUGUCCCCAGGGUCUCAAAGGCACUGGGCAUACAAUAUCAUCUUAAUUGUGCUUAGAGUCUGCAGUCCUUGGGAAGGGUAGAAAAGACAACUGAUAUUAUCAAAAGCCACCUUAGAAAACUGUCUCAAGAGACUCAUCCUUCUUUCCAUGGCCCUACUAUGUCUUAGAAACACUCCUUCAAAGCUGGAUUUCAGUCCCUUUGAAAUGAUAUUUUCUCACCAAUUAUUUCCUGCUAGAUAAGAAAUCUCUGAUUUGAUUAAACAUGCAACUUCUCUGAUUCAUUUCCAGCAGGAACUGAAACAAUUCUCAAAGGUCCAAAUCCAUGAACUAGGGUUCCCUCUAUUCAACCCAAGGGAUUUAGUACUGGGUAGGGGGUGCGGAGAGAGAGUGCACUCGCGCGUGCGCACAUGCACAUGUUGUCACCAAGUGGGCACCCUAUAAGCAUGCUUUCUUGGCUGAGAUGUAUUGAGCUCUAAUUUUGCCAGGACUUCUUUGUAUCAAACUAUGACAAUUUGAAGUGAAGAAACUGUCUGUAUCCCCUUCCUAUGCCAGUUUUGCUCAGUUCCAAGCACAGCAGUUUCCACCUGGUAGACCUUCAAGAUACAGAAUGUGCAUGAUUGAAUCAGCAAAUUCCUCUUGGCUCUUACCUCAUUUGGACAUCUUAAAAAAAAUCUUCUAAAAUAACUUUCCACCCCUAUCACUGAUUCAAAUCUCUUCCAGUGUGAUGAUUUGUAAUUUUGAACCAGCCUACUAAAACUGUAGCCAGAAUUGGUUCCAUAAAUCCUUUUAUAUAACUUUGACUCAUCUAUAAUUAAUCAUAAUAAUAAGAUUGUUAAAUUCCAUUUAUUUCUAAUACCAUUAAUCUUUCACAUCAGACAAUUUGUGGUAUGCCAUGAUUAGCAGAAUAGUUUAAUUAGUACAUUCUAUAAAUCUAGAAUAUGAUCUUGGAUUGAAUUCUGUUAAUCCUCCUUACCCCAUAUCAGUAACUGCAGUAAAGAAUUAGAAAAGUUGUUGCUCACACAUAGUUCUUUUCUCUUAUGGCUCUUUUCCUGGAAGCUGUGUUGAACUAGAAAGUACCUCUCCUAAUAUGUCUUCUACUUUUCCCUAAAAUGUUUUGACAUUUUUAAGUUAGCUUAAGCAAAAUUUUAAAGAAUUUAAAUACACAGCAAUUUUCAUCAAAAGUUUUCAUUUAUGCUCAUUGUGUAUAAUAGCCCUAUAAAUUAUUAUGCUUAUUCAACAAUUAAGACAAGCUGCCUAGAACAAAUACAGUGUAACUUUCACUGCAUUCCACGUGUCAAGCCAAGGGCAGCUUCAUAGACAUAUGAUCUGUAUAGUUGCACAAAAUCUUGUGCAUAGAAAGACCUUAUGUUUGUUGCACUGUUUUCAUCUUGAAAUUCUUAAUAAUCUUUGAACAAGGGGUCUUACAUUUUUAUUUUCCCCUGGGCCCCAUGUGUUUACUCCUGAUCAAAGCAAUUCACAGCCCAGCCCAGAUUCUAGGACAAGGAAAAUAGGAGAUAGAUUUUAUGUCUCAAUGGGUGGAACAGCAUAUAUGUUCAGGACAGAAAGGAAUUAAUGGUGACCAUCUAUGGAAUAUUCACCAUAUUCUUAUUCUACUAAUAAGAAAACUGAGGUGGAGAGAGAUUAAGUGCCUAGCCCAAAAUCACAUCAGUGACCAGUAAUGUAACAGAUAUAGCCCUGGUAUUCACUGGAAAAAAAUGACUGUGAGUAGUCCAGAGCAUGCUGGAUAUAGAAUUGUUAAACUGAUGAAUUUCCAUCUCUUGUACAAUCACUAGAGGACAAUAUUACUAAAAUAAGAGUUAAUUUAACCAUAGUGUAUCUUCCCUCAGUAUAUUAGCACCCUGUUUAGUGCCAUGGGUUGGAAUCUCCUUGCCAGCUCUGAUUCUUCAAACUCCAGUGCCUACAACCAACCAUUUGUCCUUUAUUCCACCUGUGCUAGUUCAUGGGCUUUUUCUGCCGUGGUUAGGAACACUGAACAUAGAAAGAGAAAAUGGCUGAGCACCAUGGCCAGGCAAGAAAAAAGGUCUAACACAAAUCUGAAAAGAUUUAUAGGAUAGGAAAGCAAGGAGAGUUAGGAAUAAAGACCCUCUAGUCAUGAGAUUGAAUAUGACAUUCAACAAGAGGAAGAAUUGAGAGGGAUUGGAGAAGGAGGUUGAGCUUCUAAGUUUGAGUCUUGGAAAUACAGCAGUAUUAAAGUUUUUCUUUCUAGGUAACUCGCUGAUACUCUGAGUAGUCAUGAAGACAAGUACUUGGAAAAAUGAAACUACCAUUGUGAUAGCUGACUAAAUUAUAUGAGAUUUUUUUUUUUUUUUUUUUUUUUGAGACGGAGUUUCACUCUUGUUUCCCAGGCUGGAGUACAAUGGCAUGAUCUCGGCUCACCACAACCUCUGCCGAUAUGAGGUUUUUAAAUAAGAUUUUAUUUUCAACAUUUGCUAUAUGAGUAUCAGUUGUAUUACUGAUAAAACCAUGUCUCUUUAACUUAAUAUUUCAGUGCUUGAUAGUUAGAUUUUCCAUUAAAUAUUAAUGAUUCAAAUGAGAAAGUAUCAUUUUCCAAUCUGUAAGAACCAUCAAUUAAUAUUUGAAUAAAACCGUUCCUCUUGCUCUGCUAGUGUUACUUUUAAAAUGCAUUUAAUGGAAAGAUGCUAUGUUCAAUAUGAUGUAAUAUAUAAGAUAAAACUACAAUCUUUUUUUUGUCUAAAAUCAACGUUCUUUAAUGUUUUGUAUAUUCCCAAGCAUUGAAAACUUUAGAUAUAUGUUUUCAUUUAAUUCUCACAAAUACCCUUCAUUGUUGCUACUGUUAUCAAAAUUAUAUAGAAAAUACUUUUUUUUUUAAUUUUAAAUUCAGGGAGUACAUGUGCUGGUUUAUCACUUGAGUAUAUUGUGUGAUGUUGAGUCUUGGGAUUCUGCUGAUUCCAUCACCCAAAUUGUGACUGCAGUACUCAAGACGUAGAUUUUCAGCCUUUGACCAUCUUUCUCCCUUCUACUUUUGGAGUCCUCAGUGUCUAUUGCACCAUCUUUAUGUCUGUGUACCCAAUGAUUACCUCCCACUUAUAAGUGAGAUUAGAUAGUCCUGGGUUGUCUAUUUCCGUAUUAAUUCACUUAGCAUAAUGGCCUUCAGCUGCAUUCAUGUUGCUGCAAAGAACAUGCUCUCAUUCUUUUUAAUGCUUGUGUAGCAUUCCAUGGUGUAUAUGUCACACAUUUUCUUUAUCUAAUCCACCACUGAUGAGCACCUAGGUUGAUUUUAUGUCUUUGCUAUUAUAAAUAGUGUUGUGAUAAACAUACAAAUAUAGGUAUCUUUUUGGUAGAUGAUUUAUUGUCUUUGAGUAUACACCCAGUAAUGGAAUUGCUGGCAUAAAUGGUAAUUCUAUUUUUGCUUAUUUGAGAAAUGUCCAAACUGCUUUUUACAGUGGCUGAAUUAACAUUCCCACCAGGAGGUGUAAGUAUUCCUUUUCUUUGCAUCCUUGUCAACAUCUGCUUUUAUUUUUCUUUUGAAUGUAGCCAUUGCGAUUAAUGUAAGAUAGUAUCUCCUUGUGGUUUUGAUGUGUAUCUCACUGAUUAUUAGUGAUGUUGACCAUUUUUUUAAUGUUUUUGGCCAUUUGUAUGUCUUCUGAGAGAUAUGUGUUCAUGUCCUUUGCCUACUUUUGAAAGAGGUUAUUUUUUUUUCUUAUUUGUUUAAGUUUCUUAUAAAUUCUGGAUAUUUGUCCUUUGUCAGAUGCAUACUUUGCUAAUAUUUUCUCCCAUUCUAUAGGUAGUCUGUUUACUCUGCUGAUAGUUCUUUUGCUGUGCAGGAGCUCUUUAGUUUAAUUAGGUCUCACUUGUCAAUUUUUGUUUUCAUUGCAUUUGCUUUUGAGGACUUAGUCAUAAACUCUCUAAUCCAAUGUUGAGAAGAGUAUUUUCUCACUUUUCUUAUAGGAUAUUUAUGGUUUGAGAUCUUAUAUUUAAUUCUUUAGUCCAUCUUGAAUUAAUUUUUAUAUAUCAUGAGAAGUAAGGGUUCAGUUUUAUUUUUCUGCAUAUGAUUAAUGAUUUUUCUCAGCAUCAUUUAUUAAGAGAGUUCUUUCCCCAUUGUUUGUUUUGUUAAAGAUCCCUUGGUUGUGGGUGUGCAGCUUCAUUUUUGGGUUCUCCAUUCUGUUCCACUUGUCUAUGUUUCUGCUUUUGUACCAGUACCAUGCUGUUUUGAUUUUUACAGCCUUGUAGUAUAGUUUGAAGUUGGUUAAUUUGAUGUCUCCAGCUCUGUCUUUUGUUUGGUUAGUUGGUUUUUGCUUAGGACUGGUUUGGCUAUUUGGGUUCUCUUUUGGUUCCACAUAAAUUUUAGAAUAGUUUUUUCUAAUUCUGUAAAAAAAAUAAUGAUGAUAAUUUGAUAGAAAUUGCAUCAAAUCUGUAUAUUGCUUUAGGCAGUAUUGUAAUUUUAAAAAUGUUUAUUC
Molecule: long non-coding RNA, 5744 nt
Organism: Callithrix jacchus (white-tufted-ear marmoset)
Lineage: Eukaryota; Metazoa; Chordata; Mammalia; Primates; Cebidae
Source: RefSeq, a predicted model, not a curated record